GGCAUAUUUCAACAGAGAGUUAUUAACCUGAAAUGGCAGGCUAUAAUGGACAUGGAGAACAAAAGAGAAGAAGCCAUGUUGAUUGUGUGCCCACUCUGAUUAUAUAGAGAUGAUAGGUAGAACCACCUCUAUUCACCUUUGCACUUUCUUGAAAAGAAGCAAUUCAAACAGUCUUGCUCAAAGAUGUGUCAGA
Molecule: long non-coding RNA, 193 nt
Organism: Lolium rigidum
Lineage: Eukaryota; Viridiplantae; Streptophyta; Magnoliopsida; Poales; Poaceae
Exons: 3
Source: RefSeq, a predicted model, not a curated record